This 4656-nucleotide long non-coding RNA is filed under the name Lactuca sativa (garden lettuce). RNAcentral's name for it is "long non-coding RNA (LSAT_LNC009027)". The record is from RNAcentral. Lineage: Eukaryota; Viridiplantae; Streptophyta; Magnoliopsida; Asterales; Asteraceae.
UGAAGGACACGUCGCCCUCGCUUACGCCCCGCGUCUGAAGCCAGUACGCCCCGCGUACCCUUGCCCUUAUCUCUUCCGGAGUGCAAGCCAACUGGUCCAAGGUGGCGCCCUUAUCCGAUGGUUACGCCCCGCGUAGGUCCGAGGUACGCCCAGCGUACCGAGGCCUCGCAGGGCUAUAAAAAGGGGCCGAGAUUUCUUCAUUUUCCACACCUUUCUUCACUCUCUCUCUAACUUCUUUCUCUCUCUAAGUGUUCUAAACAAUCCUAAACCCUAGGGAACCUCCUUAGCCCCUGAGGGAAGCCCCGAGGCUCCCGGAGUCCCGAGAAAAAAGAGUUUUUCGGUUUCGAAACGCUGCUCCAAUUAAGUUCCGGUUUUUGAUAAGAUUCGUUGUAUGUGUGCUAUGCUUACACAAUUUUUAAUAUACCUUUCAAAUAAUUAUAGGAAUGUUAUCAGGUCCUUAAAAUAAUUAUUUGGGUUAUUAUUAUGAGUUAUAUUGAGCGUUAUUAAUGCUUAAUAAUAGUCAGACUAAUUAAUUUGUCACGGUUAUCGUUAGACUAAACCCUAGUGGUAUUGGUACUAGGUUUUAUCGAAGGAAUAUCGUUUUGAGAGUAUCGAAGCGCUGUCCGAGUGNGUUUUGAGAGUAUGAAAGCGCUGUCCGAGUGCUGAGUCACCACCUACUCAAGUGAGUGCAUAGUCCUUUUCAUCUUACACCUAGAUAUGAAGUAUUUUAUAUAAACUACGUGCUAUGUGUGCUUAUUGUCUGAAUACUUGUCGUCUAUGCUGGAUGAACAUUUUAUACAUGUUUUAAAUGAUUUAAACUGUUUACAUAUUUUAUAUAUACGAAUAUGUUGCGUAUGAUAUGGGUAGAUGAACGAUGAGAGAUAUAAGGUGAUGACAGUAUACAUUGGCAGCUAUAGACUUAGUACCUAUAGGACAAACACCGGUAGCUAUGGAUUUAGUACCUAUUAGGAACUGGUAGCUAUGGAUUUAGUACCUGUUAGGAACCGGUAGCUAUGGAUUUAGUACCUGUUAGGAAUUGAUAGCUAUCGACUUAGUACCUAUUAGAUGAACAUUGGUAGCUAUGGAUCUAGUACCCGAUGAGUAGACUAUAGCAGCUAUGGAAUUAGGAACAUUGGCAGCUAUGGAUUUAGUGUCGGUCCUAUGACCCUAGAAGUAAGGGACUUUGGAAUAAAUGAAUGCAUGAUAGAUGACUCUUAGGUUAAAUCCUUAAGAGUAAAGAAGAUAAUGGGGAAUGGGUAAUUGGGCUGAUUGUUUGAUUGUAUAAACAUAAUAAUUAUAUUAUUGUGGGUUGAAAACCCUAUGUACUCACCAGGUUUCCCAACCUGACCCACUCAGUUUAUUUAUAUCACAGGUGUUGAUACGAAGUCACAUUACACUGAGAGAUUAAAGAGAUGUAGAUCACUAGUAUAAGUAAAUGUAAGUUUCCGUUUAUGCUUAUGUUCCUGUAUUGACAAUGACAUCCCAAAAGUUUUAAAAUGAAUGAAAUACGUUUCUUCGAAAAUGUUUUGAUAACGUAUUUAUCAUAUUUUCCUGGGAACAAAAUACGCAACAUUAUUAUAAAAAGAAGUACUCUAAUUUUAUAAAGCAUAAACGAAAUCGGUCUUUUCUGGCAUUGAUUUUGGGGAUGUCACAGUUGGUAUCAGAGCAUUAGUUUAAGCGAACUAGGAAUAUGGAUUUAUUUCUAGACAUAAACUUAGAAUGCUAAGCAAUGAUUGUGAGGAGUGUGUCUAAUAAAACUUAGGUAAUACACUUGAAUAGACACAAGCACUAGCUUAUUUAGGGAAAAUUCCUAACAUGCUUUCAUGUGCUAAAUGUUUUAUGAUAUGCAUUAUAUGAACUGAUCUAUGGUCUGUUGCCGACCGGAUUUGGAAACUUUAUGUGUUCAGAUUUCUAAACGUUUAAUUACGAUAUUAGAACUGGCAUAUAAUUUUUCGGAGAGAUAAGGAGAAUUAUACAUCGAUCGUAAAUGAAAUCUUCUCUAUCUAAAUUCUCGUCACUCUACACCGGACAUCCAAAUUCGAUGUAUAGAUCGACAUGAUGAACACUCAAAGCGGAUUCGGAGAUAGUAACCCGCAGCCUAAGCCACAAGUGAUUGAACAUACACCAGAAGUAGCAGAUGCACCCGAACCAAUCACGAUAGGAGGAGUACAGGCAAUGGUGCAGAUGAUGUUUGAUCAACAGAUGAGAGAAACAAGGUGCUUAAUUCAACAAAGUAAGGACAAACUUACUGUGCCAGUACGCCAGGCACUCGCUCUUGAGGCAACCAUCUGGGUUGCUAAGUCUGUCGAAGAAAAGAUCAACGAUAGGAUCGCCAACAAAGUUGAAGUUGGCAAGAANGGAAAUUUGAGGAUCUUCAAGGUCCAACAGGAAAAACUUAUCUUCACAGUCUAGAGGAGGAAGAGGUAAAGCAAAAUGGUGUAACAGGAAAUGCCCUAAGGAAGUGACCUGCUUUAAAUGUUGGAAGAUUGGUCAUAAUGCCCACAAAUGCUCAACCAGGGAGGAAAUUUUGCCUUAACUGUAGUGGAGAAGGACACUUCAAGCAAGAUUGUCCGAUGAGAGCAACAACGCCAAAUGUACUGCUAAAGCACUAUGAGGGAUACGACGAGAAAGUGACUUGCUACAAAUGUGGAAGGAUAGGGCAUUACGCCAGCAAGUGCAUGUCUAAGAGUAAGGUGUGCUAUGGAUGUAACAAAGAAGGACAUUUACGUAGGGACUGCCCGAAGAGACAUGAAGCAGCUGACAAGGUAAUCAAAAGUGAGGAUUGAUAUCCGGAGAUCAAGCUAUGAAUGUAAACAUAGUAUGGUAGGGGUAGCCUAAUAGAGGCACGAUCUAGGGUGAACUUGAACAUCUAUGUAAUAGUUUCAAGAAAUAAUAAAGCCUUCAUUUUGUUAUCUGAUGUGUUAAACUGUUAUGUGAUUUUCUUGUAUGGUUACUUGGAAAACUGCGAGACAAUACUUGGGACGAGUAUGAGUAGGUGUGAAAGGUAGUAGAUGCAUAUACUAUCGGAAGCACAGGACUCACACUUGGAUCAGGGAAAGUCACAAGGUUACUGAGAAGCCAAUAAUUGAUUAUGUUUUAUUCAAGUAUGUCGUUACCAUCGUUUCGGUAAUGACUAAAAAGAUUGUUGAUAUUCCGACCCGAGUGGUCAUAUCGAAUUGAGUCCGACUACGAUAAGUAUGUUGCGUGAUUCAAAGAACCAAGUUUAAUGUAGCACCAACUUAAGCCAGAAGAAUUAAUCAAAGCGAUCAGUAGAGGUAUUGCGACGGUUGCUAGAAAUGCUACCUUCUAAGAUGUGAUCUAGAACAUGAAGGAAGGUAUAGUCUGUUCUGGAAUUUGACUCUAAGAGACUUGACUCUAAGCAUUGCAACACACGAUGAUAGGUCAUUAGAAUAUGACACAUCGUUCCAUUGUAGUAAUGAAAAGAACUUAUCUUAAUUUCGUAUCAACUGAGGAUUGACAUUGUGGCUUAAAGGUCAUAAUCUGGAGUCUAACGUGAGAUAGAGAGCGGAUGUAAGAUCGAGCACCGCCUGUAGUCAAGGAGUCCAAGAGUUAAAUACUCAUUCGAAGAAACAUCGAAGUUAUGAAUUAGGAUGAAGAGAUAACGUAUGGAGUCAUCAUGUGAUCCCUUUUUCGUUGAUGAUUCUGGGACGUAAUCAUCCUCAGGGGGAGCUAAUUGUAACGCCCGCAAAUCCGGGCUAGUCAAUUAGAGGCAAUAGGGUCGAAAACGACUUUUCGACAAAAGAUUAUUUAGAAUAAAUAAUAUGAACCAAGUUUUAGUAUAUGUCACAAGGUUUCCGUACAUAUAAAGAACGCCGAAAUCUGAGUUAUAACGAAGAAGUUAUGACCCGUUGAAGUUUCGCGACGGAACCGGCACGAUACCGAGAAGCGUAAAUAGUGAAUUUACGAUAGAGCGAGAUUUAGCCUUAGCGAUCUAAACAAAAGUCGUAGAAUAUGUUAAACUAAGAACAUCGAUAAAAAGAACGCCCAAAUCUGACUUCGUAUGAAGAAGUUAUGAUUUUUCGAAGUUUCGGACUAGCAGUGUACAACCUGAAAUUCGAAUAUUAGAUCGAGCGGUUUUUAGCCGACAUGACCUGAACGAGAAUCGAAGAUCUCGUUAAGAGUAGCGUAACGAGAAAAAGAUGGGCGAAAACGGAUGUCGGAUGAAGAAGUUAUGAGGAUUUAACGGACCAAUCGUGUCCCGGCCCGUUAAUAAUAUAAAAUUUAAAAUCGAGCCAAAAUUAGCCGACGAAGUCUAAACGAAAGUUGUAGAGUACGUUCCCACCUUCGCGUGGAUAUAAAGAACGUCAAAAACGGAGCUCGUAUGCAAAAGUUAUCAUUUUUAGAAUUCGAGAAUGCAAUUUGCGAAGGCUGAUAAGGAAUUGAUGACGUGGCGCAUUGUGGGCCGUCCAUCGCUGAUCAGAUCUCGCUUCGGAUGAAGGACACGUCGCCCUCGCUUACGCCCCGCGUCCGAAGCCAGUACGCCCCGCAUACCCUCGCCCUUAUCUCUUCCGGAGUGCAAGCCAGCUGGUCCGAGGUGGCGCCCUUAUCCGAUGGUUACGCCCCACGUAGGUCCGAGGUACGCCCAGCGUACCGAGGCCUCGCAAGGCUAUAAAAAGGGGCCGAGAUUUCUUCAUU